GAGCUUGUUUUGCACACGAACCGGGACGGGAUAGGACAUAUAAUGAGUCCCAGCAGCUACUACGAAUGCCUAAAGUUCCCUUCCCGCGCACCGUCCCCUCCCCGCUGCCGGCCUGGCCUCCGCUUCCUUAUUGGUUCACCCGGGGUUUCUCCGUCACGUGAGAAAAACGUUCCUAAGCUCGAUGUCACGUGAUCUAGUCGGUUCAUUGGGUGUGGCCCGGGUCACGUGACUGCGAAGGGCGAGCCCCUGUGUCCUUCCUCAGGAUCCUUCACUGACCUUCGUAAAUACAUGGAAAGAUGAGAAGGUUCUGGGACAGAAAAGGGUGGAAAGAUGGACUUGUCAGAAGGAGGGGCAGAAGCAGAAGCACAAUGGGGGCUCCUCUCCCUCUCCGAGUGCUUCUUUCCUAGAGCCUCCGGGGAGGAGACGGCUUUCCCUUUCCACAUCCAAGGCAACCUGCAUACAACGCAGAGGUGUCCAGUUCUCUGUAAGACUGGGAGUUAGCGGAUUACCAGCAUCCUUUCCUCCUCACUUGCUCACGUCUUCGGUGGAUUCUGGCUGCUUCAUUUCCCAAACAGAUGGCAAAGUGGCCCUCCUUCUGUCUCCACUGUCCUCCUUUCACUGUCCAGACACAGUCCUCAGUGAUCUGACCCACCGGUGGGCUUAACUCUCCUGGCAAAGUCCAGUCUCUUGAUCUGGAACUUUGAGGAUCCAGGUCCCACAGAGGUCUUCACUGUCUCCUACCCCACAUGAUCACCUAUCUCCAUAGCCCUGCCAGGCUCUUAGCGGCCACUCUGGCUGCUUCCAAGGCUGUAGCCUGCUUCUCCCAUGCUGACUUCUCUUCCUGGGCUCAACAGCAAAGGUUCCCUCAGCAGAGAAAACCCUAGGCUUUGAGCCAUGGUGUGUCCCAGUUUCCUCUGUGUUUAAUAUUUGUGCUUCCUGCUGUUGUGGCUGCUGCAUGUGGGCAGGAACUGCUUCUGUUUUGUUUAUUGCUCUGUGUACUUCCCACCCAGCCUAGGAUCAAUAAAUAGGUGUUGAGCCAGGUAUGGUGGCUCA
Molecule: long non-coding RNA, 1053 nt
Filed under: Mus spicilegus (steppe mouse)
Lineage: Eukaryota; Metazoa; Chordata; Mammalia; Rodentia; Muridae
Description: lncRNA (ENSMSIG00000006205.1)
Source: RNAcentral